GUGUCAGCAGCCGCGGUAAUACGUAGGUGGCAAGCGAUACUCGGAAUCACUAGGCGUAAAGCGCAGGUAGGUGGUUGGGUAAGUCUUUUGUGAAAGCUCCUGGCUUAACUGGGAGAGGUCAAAGGAAACUACUCGGCUAGAGUUUGGUAGGGGAUACUGGAAUUCCUGGUGUAGCGGUGAAAUGCGUAGAUAUCAGGAGGAAUACCUAUGGCGAAAGCAGGUAUCUGGGCCACAACUGACACUGAGCUGCGAAAGCUAGGGGAGCAAACAGGAUUAGAUACCCUCGUAGUCC
RNAcentral lists this ribosomal RNA (292 nucleotides) under uncultured bacterium. RNAcentral's name for it is "partial 16S ribosomal RNA". It matches the Rfam family "Bacterial small subunit ribosomal RNA", at positions 505 to 796 of the family's 1533-position model. The record is from RNAcentral.